CCAGACUCCUACGGGAGGCAGCAGUGGGGAAUAUUGCACAAUGGGGGAAACCCUGAUGCAGCGACGCCGCGUGAGUGAGGAAGUAUUUCGGUAUGUAAAGCUCUAUCAGCAGGGAAGAAAAAAUGACGGUACCUGACUAAGAAGCACCGGCUAAAUACGUGCCAGCAGCCGCGGUAAUACGUAUGGUGCAAGCGUUAUCCGGAUUUACUGGGUGUAAAGGGAGCGUAGACGGUUACGCAAGUCUGGAGUGAAAGGCGGGGGCCCAACCCCCGGACUGCUUUGGAAACUGUGCAGCUAGAGUGCAGGAGAGGUAAGUGGAAUUCCUAGUGUAGCGGUGAAAUGCGUAGAUAUUAGGAGGAACACCAGUGGCGAAGGCGGCUUACUGGACUGUAACUGACGUUGAGGCUCGAAAGCGUGGGGAGCAAACAGGAUUAGAUACCCUGGUA
RNAcentral lists this ribosomal RNA (446 nucleotides) under uncultured bacterium. RNAcentral describes it as "bacterial SSU rRNA". It matches the Rfam family "Bacterial small subunit ribosomal RNA", at positions 331 to 792 of the family's 1533-position model. The record is from RNAcentral.